This 253-nucleotide ribosomal RNA is filed under the name uncultured bacterium. RNAcentral's name for it is "partial 16S ribosomal RNA". It matches the Rfam family "Bacterial small subunit ribosomal RNA", at positions 524 to 776 of the family's 1533-position model. The record is from RNAcentral.
UACGUAGGGCGCAAGCGUUAUCCGGAAUUAUUGGGCGUAAAGAGCUCGUAGGCGGUUUGUCGCGUCUGCCGUGAAAGUCCGGGGCUCAACUCCGGAUCUGCGGUGGGUACGGGCAGACUAGAGUGAUGUAGGGGAGACUGGAAUUCCUGGUGUAGCGGUGGAAUGCGCAGAUAUCAGGAGGAACACCGAUGGCGAAGGCAGUUCUCUGGGCCGUAACUGACGCUGAGGAGCGAAAGCGUGGGGAGCGAACAGG